UACACAUCACUUCAAAGGGCCAUAACUCUGCUGUUCAGAUGACAAAUGCAAUGAGAUUUCACAAUGAUGUGUCAUAUAAUGGCUGUAGAAGAUUUUGUACCAAGUUUUAUGAAAAUCAAUCCAGGUCAGAGUCUUUAUCAGAGAGAAAGAAGCAAUUACCCAUCGAAACCUGUAUCAGUGGUACUGGAAACAACUGGAUCUAGUGACAAUAUUCAAGCUCGGUGAAGGGUGGGGCUACAUGUAGAUAUGGGAG
Molecule: long non-coding RNA, 253 nt
Organism: Saccostrea echinata
Lineage: Eukaryota; Metazoa; Mollusca; Bivalvia; Ostreida; Ostreidae
Exons: 3
Source: RefSeq, a predicted model, not a curated record